AGAGUUUGAUCAUGGCUCAGAUUGAACGCUGGCGGCAGGCCUAACACAUGCAAGUCGAGCGGUAGCACAGAAGAGCUUGCUCUUCGGGUGACGAGCGGCGGACGGGUGAGUAAUGUCUGGGAAACUGCCUGAUGGAGGGGGAUAACUACUGGAAACGGUAGCUAAUACCGCAUAACGUCUUCGGACCAAAGAGGGGGACCUUCGGGCCUCUCGCCAUCGGAUGUGCCCAGAUGGGAUUAGCUAGUAGGUGAGGUAAUGGCUCACCUAGGCGACGAUCCCUAGCUGGUCUGAGAGGAUGACCAGCCACACUGGAACUGAGACACGGUCCAGACUCCUACGGGAGGCAGCAGUGGGGAAUAUUGCACAAUGGGCGCAAGCCUGAUGCAGCCAUGCCGCGUGUGUGAAGAAGGCCUUCGGGUUGUAAAGCACUUUCAGCGGGGAGGAAGGCGAUAAGGUUAAUAACCUUGUCGAUUGACGUUACCCGCAGAAGAAGCACCGGCUAACUCCGUGCCAGCAGCCGCGGUAAUACGGAGGGUGCAAGCGUUAAUCGGAAUGACUGGGCGUAAAGCGCACGCAGGCGGUCUGUUAAGUUGGAUGUGAAAUCCCCGGGCUUAACCUGGGAACUGCAUUCAAAACUGACAGGCUAGAGUCUUGUAGAGGGGGGUAGAAUUCCAGGUGUAGCGGUGAAAUGCGUAGAGAUCUGGAGGAAUACCGGUGGCGAAGGCGGCCCCCUGGACAAAGACUGACGCUCAGGUGCGAAAGCGUGGGGAGCAAACAGGAUUAGAUACCCUGGUAGUCCACGCUGUAAACGAUGUCGACUUGGAGGUUGUGCCCUUGAGGCGUGGCUUCCGGAGCUAACGCGUUAAGUCGACCGCCUGGGGAGUACGGCCGCAAGGUUAAAACUCAAAUGAAUUGACGGGGGCCCGCACAAGCGGUGGAGCAUGUGGUUUAAUUCGAUGCAACGCGAAGAACCUUACCUACUCUUGACAUCCACAGAAUUUGGUAGAGAUACCUUAGUGCCUUCGGGAACUGUGAGACAGGUGCUGCAUGGCUGUCGUCAGCUCGUGUUGUGAAAUGUUGGGUUAAGUCCCGCAACGAGCGCAACCCUUAUCCUUUGUUGCCAGCGAGUAAUGUCGGGAACUCAAAGGAGACUGCCGGUGAUAAACCGGAGGAAGGUGGGGAUGACGUCAAGUCAUCAUGGCCCUUACGAGUAGGGCUACACACGUGCUACAAUGGCGUAUACAAAGAGAAGCGAUCUCGCGAGAGCAAGCGGACCUCAUAAAGUACGUCGUAGUCCGGAUUGGAGUCUGCAACUCGACUCCAUGAAGUCGGAAUCGCUAGUAAUCGUAGAUCAGAAUGCUACGGUGAAUACGUUCCCGGGCCUUGUACACACCGCCCGUCACACCAUGGGAGUGGGUUGCAAAAGAAGUAGGUAGCUUAACCUUCGGGAGGGCGCUUACCACUUUGUGAUUCAUGACUGGGGUGAAGUCGUAACAAGGUAACCGUAGGGGAACCUGCGGUUGGAUCACCU
RNAcentral lists this ribosomal RNA (1531 nucleotides) under Pectobacterium parmentieri. RNAcentral describes it as "bacterial SSU rRNA". It matches the Rfam family "Bacterial small subunit ribosomal RNA". Lineage: Bacteria; Pseudomonadati; Pseudomonadota; Gammaproteobacteria; Enterobacterales; Pectobacteriaceae. The record is from RNAcentral.